UACCUGCAGCUCAAGUGGUGACCACUAUCAUUGGGCCUAAAACGUUCGUAGCCGGUUUAUUAAAUGCUUGGGUAAAUCGUGUAGCUUAACUAUACGAAUUCCGGGUAGACUGAUAGACUUGAGACCGGGAGAAGCUAGAGGUACUCCUGGGGCAGAGGUGAAAUUCUGUAAUCCUGGGGGGACCACCAGUGGCGAAGGCGUCUAGCUAGAACGGGUCUGACGGUGAGGAACGAAGCCCUGGGGCGCAAACCGGAUUAGAUACCCGGGUAGUCCAGGGUGUAAACGCUGCUUGCUUGAUGUUAGUUGGGCUCCGAGCCCAAUUAGUGUCGGAGAGAAGUUGUUAAGCAAGCUGCCUGGGAAGUACGAUCGCAAGAUUGAAACUUAAAGGAAUUGGGCGGGGGAGCGACAGCAACGGGUGGAGCGUGCGGUUU
This 431-nucleotide ribosomal RNA is filed under the name uncultured archaeon. RNAcentral describes it as "bacterial SSU rRNA". It matches the Rfam family "Archaeal small subunit ribosomal RNA", at positions 474 to 903 of the family's 1478-position model. The record is from RNAcentral.